UUCAUUACAAAUGAACGACACUGUACUUGCAGUCAACCUCUUCGAUCACUUUCACUACUACAAACCCAGAACCUCAACGAUUAAAACUCAAUGGCGACCAUCAGCAACUAAAUCAAUGGCGACUUUAAGCCCCAGGUUCUUGUUCAGCAAGGGCGUCGUUUCACAGCCCGCCAACACUCCACCGGUUACAAGCUUCCUCGAAACGCAUCCAGGAGCGUACACGACGUCUCGCACUCACAAAGACGCGUCGUUCGUGCUGUUCUGGGAACGACAGUUGAAGAGACUGGUGGACUCAGUAGCAAUUCUAUACAAUUCGAAUCCUCAGCUUCUGUUCGGACCCAACAAAACGACGUCGCUUUCGUUGCCGUCGCUCUCCUCCAACUCCCCUUUGCUCCAGUCAGAGGUUCGCGAGCUCGUGAAUCGUUCGAUGAAACGAGUGUUGCCGAUUGCUUUGAAUGAGAGGAGUGAGGGAGAAGAACUGUCAAUUACAGCUCUGGUCAGUGGCAAUUUGGAGAAAUUGAGUGAGAAUGAGAGUGAGGGCUUGGACCAUGAAAGAUUUGGCAAUGGGGUUUUUGAUGUGAGUAUUUACAUUGGGACUUAUGUGCCAACUGUGUUUGGUAUCGAAGGAAACGGUGCGCAUUUGGCUGUGGUGGGUCGUGGGAGAGACGAUGCUUCUGCUAAGUAUUCGGAUUGGGUGAGGAUUAGGAAGUCUUUGGAGAGGUUGAGGCCUCCCAAUGGGACCGAGCUCUUGUUGUCUAAUGACGGUGACCGGAUUCUUGAGGGGACGGUCUCAAACUUCUUUGUCGUCUGCCGGAAGGAUAACGAUGAAGCUAAGGGGCAAAGUGUGCACUGUUUUGAAGUACAGACAGCUCCUAUUAUUGAUCAUGUCCUUCCAGGAAUUAUACGCCAAUUGGUCAUUGAAGUAUGCUUGAGCAAGGGAAUCCCCUUUCGAGAAGUUGCACCAUCGUGGUCAGAGAGUGAAUUUUGGGCAGAGGCGUUCAUUACAAGUAGCUUGAGACUUCUGCAGCACGCGGAGAGAAUUAGUUUUCCAAGUUCAUGGGAAUCACUAAAUUCUAAAUCUUGGGAGGAGAUCUCAUGGAAAGACAAACAUUUUGAGGAGGGUCCUGGGAUGGUCACUACAAUAAUCCAGAAAGAGGUCAUGGAGAAAGCAGCUUCAGAAGGGUACUUUCUCAGUUAGUUUGUAUAAAAGGUGGAGGUAUCUUCUUUCUUGCAUAGGAUGUUAAUACUUGUGUCUAUCAUCUUGUGCCUCCAUCCGAUACUGGGACGUGUAACCAAGCUGGACUUUAUGUGAUUUGGCCAUUACGCUCCCAAUCAUUCUGUUGCUCCAGUUCAAGCGAACCAAGGAUCAUAAAAUAAAUGGAUGUACUCUGUUUCGUAUGUAAACCAUCCUAGGUUCUUAUAUGAUUAUUAAGCCUCUUGUCAUACAUAGAAAUUAGUUUGAUCUCUUUGGGUACCAUUUACACAUAUGAUGCAAAAUAAUUCUUGUAAUUGUACCCUCUAUCAUCAAAUAUGGUUUUGUUCAAGCAGAAGCAGCCCUUGCAACUGGACUGGAAUUCAAUGCAAUGAAGCUGGCAGCAUUGUUGAAAUAAAUUUGGUGGAUUCUGGCCUUGAUGGAACACUCAACAGGUUUGACUUCUCUGCCUUUCCUAAUCUCUCUUCUCUCAAUGUCAAUUACAACAGUCUUAUAAUAAAUGCAUUUUUUUUCAUUUUUCUGUAAUCUGCUCUGUAAAAAGAAAUGAACGGCAGUUGUUUGUUGUAUUGUAUAAGAGGUUUGCA
This is an RNA transcript of Prunus persica (peach), 1797 nucleotides long. RefSeq lists it as uncharacterized. The transcript is spliced from 9 exons. The record is from RefSeq and is a predicted model, not a curated record. NCBI's taxonomy places the organism in Eukaryota, Viridiplantae, Streptophyta, Magnoliopsida, Rosales, Rosaceae.